GGGGGCGGCUGGCCUAAUGGUAAGGCGCUUGAUUUCGGUUCAGAUUCUCAAGAGAUUAUGGGUUCGAUCCCCAUGUCGCUCUU
This 83-nucleotide transfer RNA is filed under the name Penicillium salamii. Its description in RNAcentral is "tRNA-Arg". It matches the Rfam family "tRNA". From Rfam's summary of the family: Transfer RNA (tRNA) molecules are approximately 80 nucleotides in length. Their secondary structure includes four short double-helical elements and three loops (D, anti-codon, and T loops). Further hydrogen bonds mediate the characteristic L-shaped molecular structure. tRNAs have two regions of fundamental functional importance: the anti-codon, which is responsible for specific mRNA codon recognition, and the 3' end, to which the tRNAs corresponding amino acid is attached (by aminoacyl-tRNA synthetases). tRNAs cope with the degeneracy of the genetic code in two manners: having more than one tRNA (with a specific anti-codon) for a particular amino acid; and 'wobble' base-pairing, i.e. permitting non-standard base-pairing at the 3rd anti-codon position. Lineage: Eukaryota; Fungi; Ascomycota; Eurotiomycetes; Eurotiales; Aspergillaceae. The record is from RNAcentral.